AUAGAAGAAAACCUGACUGAGGCAUUCUUGAGUUCCUUUUUAGUCUGUAAACUAUAAUAUUCAUGAGACGCUUAACGCUUCCCAAAGUGGCAGGGAGGAAACUCUUUGUUUCUUGUGAUUCCACCGGAAGAGAGAGUGGACAGGACCCAGGACUUUACGGAGUAGAGUUAGUGAUUCAUCUCUUGUUUGUGAGAUAGAUAGGGCUUGAGUAGUGAGUAUCCCUUUGGGACAUUUUUUUGGGGGGAAGUGAGAGGGGCAGCAUGCUUCAUUUAUGCACACUGAUUGAGGUCACUGAAUAAUAGAUUAUAUGUUGCAAACAUUAUUAGGCACUAUAAGCCUUGUUAUGUCAGCUGCUAGAUAUCAUAGGUAUAUAUUUUACUGUAUUCAAUUCCAAUAUGUGUGUAUGACUAAUAUCUUCAUUAAUAGAUUUUCUUUUUUUUUUUUUUUUUGAGACAGAGUUUUGCUCUUGUUGCCCAGACUGGAGUGCAGUGGCAUGAUCUUGGCUCACCGAAACCUCUGCUUCCUGGGUGGGAAAGUGCAGUGUUGCCCUUCUGAAUGAGACAGAAUCAGUAUUGUCAUAUCUUGAUAAGGAGGAUACCUUCUUCUACUCAUUGGUCUAUGACCCCUCAUUGAAAACACUAUUAGCUGACAAAGGUGAAAUCAGAGUGGGGCCUAGAUAUCAAGCAGACAUUCCAGAAAUGCUGUUAGAAGG
RNAcentral lists this small RNA (712 nucleotides) under Pongo abelii (Sumatran orangutan). RNAcentral's name for it is "processed transcript". The record is from RNAcentral. Lineage: Eukaryota; Metazoa; Chordata; Mammalia; Primates; Hominidae.